GAGGCCGAAUCUAGGUCAUUCAGGACAUC
This 29-nucleotide non-coding RNA is filed under the name Mus musculus (house mouse). Lineage: Eukaryota; Metazoa; Chordata; Mammalia; Rodentia; Muridae. The record is from RNAcentral.